AUUGAACGCUGGCGGCAGGCCUAACACAUGCAAGUCGAGCGGAUGCAGAGUACUUGCUCCUUGUUUCAGCGGCGGACGGGCGAGUGAUGCCUAAGAACAUGCCUGGCAGUUUUGGAUAGGGUGAGGACGUAGGCGCUAAUACCGCAUACGUCCAGAGGGCGUAAGUGUGGAAUCAUCGGACCUUCCGCCAUUGGAUGAGCCUAGGUCGGAUUAGCUAGUUGGUGGGGUAAAGGCCUACCAAGGCGACGAUCCGUAACUGGUCUGAGAGGAUGAUCAGUCACACUGGAACUGAGACACGGUCCAGACUCCUACGGGAGGCAGCAGUGGGGAAUAUUGGACAAUGGGCGCAAGCCUGAUCCAGCCAUGCCGCGUGUGUGAAGAAGGUCUUCGGAUUGUAAAGCACUUUUAGUUGGGAGGAAGAGCAGUAAGUUAAUACCUUGCUGUUUUGACGGUACCAACAGAAUAAGCACCGGCUAACUUCGUG
This 484-nucleotide ribosomal RNA is filed under the name uncultured bacterium. RNAcentral describes it as "partial 16S ribosomal RNA". It matches the Rfam family "Bacterial small subunit ribosomal RNA", at positions 30 to 507 of the family's 1533-position model. The record is from RNAcentral.